GGGGCUGUAGCUCAGUGGUAGAGCGUCCGCUUUGCAUGCGGAAGGCCCGGGGUUCAAAUCCUCGCAGCUCCA
Trichuris suis (pig whipworm) is the source of this 72-nucleotide non-coding RNA. The record is from Rfam. Lineage: Eukaryota; Metazoa; Nematoda; Enoplea; Trichinellida; Trichuridae.